AAUUUUAAACAAUCUACUAGAUAACCAAGUGCAGAGAGGGUGAUACCUCGCUUGGAUUGUGUAUAUAAUUCCCGUUGCGCUUGUUGUGAGAUAUUGCAGGAAGAUAAGCAACUCUCUUCCGGGCGAUCGGAAGAGGUCAUGACGUGAAAGAAGAUUGAGGGUGUACAUAGUAUGGAGAUUGUGCGUAGUUAGAUCAUUAUCAGACGGUGGCGGUGACAAUAGACGCUCUCUGUGAGAGAAUAAUCUGGCUAGGUCUUAUGUAGCAGUAAGAGCCAAACCAGAAAUGCUAAAAUAAACCGUUUUGCACUUGAGGCCGAGCAAUCGGCCAAUAACACCAAAGAUAAGUACAAGUAGCCCAAAUGUGCAGAUGAACGAUACUGAUAUUGUUAUGCUAAAACAAAUAUUCUGAAUGUCGGGUGAAAGUUGGACGUAACCAGUCGUGCCUAGCCAUUGAACCGCUACGGAAGUUAUAGGGUCGCUCCUUAUGGCUCAGACCGUGGUAGGCUAUCGGUCAAUAAGUUGCGUACAAUCGAAGUAGAGCGAAGGCUCAUUUGAUAGAUUGUUUAAAG
This 569-nucleotide non-coding RNA is filed under the name unclassified sequences. Its description in RNAcentral is "ROOL RNA". It matches the Rfam family "ROOL RNA". From Rfam's summary of the family: Firmicutes, Fusobacteria (1 example), Tenericutes (1 example). Environment (Cow rumen (57)) The record is from Rfam by way of RNAcentral.